AACGCUUGCUUACGCUGUAGAUGUUAUUUUCUGUGCAAAUGCAAGCGUCUAUUGAUAACGAAACGAUAAUUUGUCAACAAUGAGAAUCAGAUACUUGGCUUAAUAAUUUUCAUUUAAAAUGUCUAAUUUGGAUAUAAUUCGGAAUACAAAACGAAACUUAAAAGGUAUUGAAAACAACAACGUUCAAAAGAACAAUGUGGAUUUCAAUAGAAAGACUAUUUCCACCGACAAUCAGGAUUUCCGGUAUGACCACUGUUAUUUUGACGAUUUUUCUAUCGGUUCGUUGGUAAGCGUGACCACAUGUGACAACAGCGAUGCUAGUUGGAUAUAAAAUUGGUAGACGUGUCGUUGAACGCGACACAUUGACCGAAUCGCUUUUAGCAUGCAGUGCUUGUCAAGUGCCCAUGAAUUUACUUAACACUGUAGAAAGCAUGGAUUUCGGACAGGCAUGUGUUUUGGACAUACAGUUUAGCAAUUGUGGUGCAGUAAAUAAUGCGGCUACUGGACGGAAACAUGGCAGAGUUUAUGACAUGAUCACAAAGCUUGCAUUUAGGUAAAUCAAAAACUGGGUGUUUCACCUGGGACUUUCACAUCGAAACUGGCCCUUCUCCAUGACCUUCAGCACAAAAAAGAAAGGCUAUAGCUGUUACUCGUGCAGCAAAACAGUGACGCAUAAGACUUAAAACUCGAACGGCAUUCAAAGGACAGUGCAAGAAGUACGAGCGGGACCAACAUACAGUUCAAACAUAGAGGACCAAGACGUUGAAGUUACAACUAUACCCCCACCUAUACCCAAGCCUGGUCCAGCAGGGCUAGACACUACUGGGAAGGAAUUUGUUUUCUUUGAUUUGGAAACAAGAGGGUUAGCACACUUCUCACAUAAUUCAGAUAGCUGCAGUGCAUUCAACUGGUCAAUUUUCAACAUAUGUGAUUCAUGAGAAGAAGAUUUCCUUGCAAGCGUCAGAAAUAACUGGAGUGACAGUUGUUAGCGACUCUAUGCUUGUCAAGAGACAAACAAUAACAGCUGUCCCCAUCAAAUCUGCAUUGACAAGUUUUAUAACAUUCUUACAGAAAUGUUUACCAAUUAUUUCAGUUGGGCAUAAUAUAGAGUCUUUUGAUUGUAAAGUGUUGCUCCGUGCUAUCCAUACUUGUUGAAAAAUGUUUGAGUUUCAGCAAAAUAUUUGUGGCUUUUUAGAUACUUAAAAAUGUUAAAGGAAAUAUUACCAAAUAUGAAAUCAUAUAAGCGGGAACAUUAAGUUAAAGAAUUCAUUGGUGAAUUAUACAUGGCACAUGGCGCUAUACAGGAUAUUUUAGCUUUACAAAAGUUAGUGAACUCUGUUCCUGUUGACCAAAAAUUGUUAACAAAUAUUCAUUCAGCUUUUACCGAGCAGUGUUAACAUACAAUGUGUAACUAAAUGUUGCUUCCAACAUCAAAUCUGUACAAACCAUAAUUGAUACAAAAGUUAUAAGUCAAGGUGUUGCAAGGAAAGUUGCAGGAAGUGGAUUUCAACUUAAACAUUUGAGUCCUGUAUCAAAAAGAAACGGACUGAGUGGUUUGAGAAGCCCCCUGUCAGAGGUUACAAACGGACAAAUCAGAGUAACAAAAUCAGAGAAAAUAAUAUGUACAAUAGCGAGUUAUUUGUUGCCUGACAUCUAACCAAUUGUAAUUUGCAUCUUGUAUAUAGAUAAGCUAUGAAAUCUAAUAGCUGUUACAUAAUUGUUUUUCCUUCUCGAUGACGAACAUAGUUGUGAUUCUUAUGUCAGUUGUAUUUCUCAUGUUUCACCUAAGUUGUAAGAUAUUUUUGGCAGUGCAUUAAACCACAGAUGGUGUGUGAAACAUAAUUGCCCAGCUUAUUGUAUUCUUUGUUGUUUUAAGCUUCACUGGCCAAAGGCCAGCGGGGCUUAUGUUAUGAUUCUGUGUCCGUCGUGCGUGCGUGCCUGAACGUUUUCUUUAAACAUCUUCUUCUCCUAAACUACUGGUCCAAUUGUGAUGAAAUUUCUUAGGAAUGUUCCUCUUUCAACGUUGUUCAAAUUAUGCCCCUGGGGUCAAAUUUGACCCUGCCCCGGGGUCACAAAAUUGAACAUAUGCUUAUAUAGGGUCUAUUUUGUGAAAACUUCACAUAUUUUUUCGUCCAUAACCAUUGGGCCUUGGGCUUCCAAAUUUGGUAUGUAGUGGCAUCUUAUAGUCCUCUACCAAGUUUGUUCAAAUUAUGCCCCUAGGGUCAAGUUUGACCCUGCCCUGAGGGUCACAAAAUUGAACGUAUGCUUAUAUAAGCCAUUUUUUGUGAAAACUUUAAAAAUCUUCUUGUUCAUAUUAGUAUGGCAUAGGGCUACCAAAUUUGGUAUGUAGUGACAUGUAAUAGUUCUCUACCAAGUUUGUUCAAAUUAUGCCCCUUGGGUUAAAUUUGAAACUGCCCCGGGGGUUACAAAACUGAACAUAUGCUUAUAAAGUGCUUAAUUUGUGAAAACUUUAAAAAAAAAUUGUCCAUAUCUAUUGGGCCUAGGGCUACCAAAUUUGGAAUGUAGUGACAUCUUAUAAACCUCUACCAAAUUUGUUCAAAUAAUGCCUCUGUGGUCAACUUUGACCCUGCCGCGGGGGGUCACAAAAUUUAAUAAACGCUUAUAAAGCGCCUAUUUUGUGAAAUCUUUAAAAAUCUUGUCGAAAACCAUUCUGACUAUGGCUACCAAAUUUGGUAUGCAGGAACAUCUUAAAGUCAUCUACCAAGUUUGUUACUUUGGGUCAAAUUUGACCCUGACCCGCGGGUCACAAAAUUGAACAUUAUAUACGCUUGUAUCUUGCUUAUUUUGUGAAAACUUUAAAAAUAUUCUUGUCCUUAACUCUACAUCUAAGACUUAGGGCCACCACAUUUUGUAUGGAGUGAGAUAUAGUAGUCCUCUACAAAGUUUGCUCAAAUUAUGCCCCUGGGGUUAAAUUUGACCCAGCCCAGGUGGUCACAAAAUUGUACAUGUGCUUAAAUAGGGCCUAUAUUUAAGUAUCUGCACAUGCGGAGAAUAUUUGUUUCAGUCUUUUUUUCAGCAGUGGAGCGAUACAGGGCCAUCAUGGCCUCUUGUCUUUAAAUACACAUCACACAGUUCUAAAAAUAAUUUUAAAAUACCUAGUACAUAUGUUCAAUUUACAACCAACAACGUGGGUAACAGGUGGGUGGGGUAAUUUAAGAUGUUUAUUUGAACAUCAACAUUGUUUUUUCAGUUGUUACAUCUGAAAUAUGUUCAUAACAAUAUACAUUAUAAAUAUUUUUACGUGUAUCACAUUUCAGUUGAUAAUUUAAUUGUUAUGGAGCAGUUAUUAUAUAGAUAUGUUUUAAUUACUAUUACAAUGUUAGUCAUUGUAUUUUUGAAAUUAAGUCCAUAUUAAAAUUUCUAUAGCAAAAAAAAAUCCACGGUGACCUAUCAAUUUCUUUACUUCAUUUUAAUGCUUAGCUAGUUUCCUUUAAUUAUUGAGAACUUCAAAUGAAUAUGAAUAUUACAUCAACAGAAAUAUGUAUCUGUAUUGCAUGUUAUCUAUUUUGAACUGUGCAAUAAAAAAUUCAAAACAAACAAAAAACUAGUCAUA
Molecule: long non-coding RNA, 3574 nt
Organism: Dreissena polymorpha
Lineage: Eukaryota; Metazoa; Mollusca; Bivalvia; Myida; Dreissenidae
Exons: 4
Source: RefSeq, a predicted model, not a curated record